CGGACGGGUGAGUAACGCGUGGGUAACCUGCCUCACACAGGGGGAUAACAGUUAGAAAUGACUGCUAAUACCGCAUAACCCGAUAGGAUCGCAUGAUCCAGACGGAAAAGAUUUAUCGGUGUGAGAUGGACCCGCGUCUGAUUAGCUAGUUGGUGAGGUAACGGCCCACCAAGGCAACGAUCAGUAGCCGGCCUGAGAGGGUGAACGGCCACAUUGGGACUGAGACACGGCCCAA
This 235-nucleotide ribosomal RNA is filed under the name uncultured bacterium. RNAcentral's name for it is "partial 16S ribosomal RNA". It matches the Rfam family "Bacterial small subunit ribosomal RNA", at positions 99 to 334 of the family's 1533-position model. The record is from RNAcentral.